RNAcentral lists this ribosomal RNA (450 nucleotides) under uncultured bacterium. Its description in RNAcentral is "partial 16S ribosomal RNA". It matches the Rfam family "Bacterial small subunit ribosomal RNA", at positions 338 to 795 of the family's 1533-position model. The record is from RNAcentral.
CCUACGGGUGGCUGCAGUAGGGAAUAUUGGGCAAUGGACGCAAGUCUGACCCAGCCACGCCGCGUGAAGGAUGACUGCCCUAUGGGUUGUAAACUUCUUUUGUAUGGGAAGAAACCUCCGAACGUGUUCGGAGCUGACGGUACCAUAAGAAUAAGCAUCGGCUAACUCCGUGCCAGCAGCCGCGGUACUACGGAGGAUGCAAGCGUUGUCGGGAUUCAUUGGUUUGAAAGGGUGCAUUGGCGGCGAUGGUGAAAGCUCGCAGCUUAACUGUGAAAAUGCCAUUGAAACUGAUUUUCUUGAGUUCGAUUGAGGUAGAUGGAAUGUAUCAUGUAGCGGUGAAAUGCUUAGAUAUGAUACAGAACACCAAUUGCGAAGGCAGUCUACUAAGUCGAUACUGACGCUGAGGCACGAAAGCAUGGGGAGCAAACAGGAUUAGAUACCCCUGUAGUC